UAAUUUCAUCAGAGAGCCAUGGUGCAGG
This 28-nucleotide small RNA is filed under the name Bombyx mori (domestic silkworm). RNAcentral's name for it is "ovarian small RNA-19949". The record is from RNAcentral. Lineage: Eukaryota; Metazoa; Arthropoda; Insecta; Lepidoptera; Bombycidae.